Molecule: unclassified non-coding RNA, 169 nt
Filed under: Hexagonia cucullata
Lineage: Eukaryota; Fungi; Basidiomycota; Agaricomycetes; Polyporales; Polyporaceae
Description: partial ITS2
Source: RNAcentral
CAACCUACAAAGUUGUUGUUGCAACUUUGUUUGGCUUGGAUCUGGAGGCUUUGCUGGCUUGCUCUGAGUUCAGCUCCUCUUAAAUGCAUUAGCUUGGUUCCUUGUGGAUCAGCUCUCGGUGUGAUAAAUUGUCUAUGCCGUGACUGUGAAGCGUUUGGCGAGCUUAUAA